CCUUGGGAGAGUUAUAAAAACUGAAGUAGCCUUUAGCAAAACAGGACUCGAUGAAUAAGGAA
RNAcentral lists this non-coding RNA (62 nucleotides) under unclassified sequences. RNAcentral's name for it is "RAGATH-18 RNA". It matches the Rfam family "RAGATH-18 RNA". From Rfam's summary of the family: Actinobacteria, Firmicutes, Fusobacteria, Thermotogae (1 example). Nearby to self-cleaving ribozyme genes The record is from Rfam by way of RNAcentral.